AUGCCCUAUGAUGAGCGGUACACACCCUACAUCCAGCAGGCAGGACUCCUCCCAUGGAUUCUGUUGGUCAGCCGGUCCAUGCCGAACCUCAGUGCUCCACUGGUGUCCUCUCUUGUUGAUUGGUGGAGGCCCGAGACGCACAGUUUCUAUCUUCGGACUGGGGAGAUGACCGUGACGCUCGAGGAUGUCUCCUUGAUCACCGGUCUUCCCAUCGACGGGAGG
This 222-nucleotide ribosomal RNA is filed under the name Triticum aestivum (bread wheat). RNAcentral describes it as "partial small subunit ribosomal RNA". The record is from RNAcentral. Lineage: Eukaryota; Viridiplantae; Streptophyta; Magnoliopsida; Poales; Poaceae.